This is a ribosomal RNA of 774 nucleotides. It matches the Rfam family "Bacterial small subunit ribosomal RNA", at positions 129 to 915 of the family's 1533-position model.
CCCUUAACUCUGGGAUAAGCCUGGGAAACUGGGUCUAAUACCGGAUAGGAGCGUCCACCGCAUGGUGGGUGUUGGAAAGAUUUAUCGGUUUUGGAUGGACUCGCGGCCUAUCAGCUUGUUGGUGAGGUAAUGGCUCACCAAGGCGACGACGGGUAGCCGGCCUGAGAGGGUGACCGGCCACACUGGGACUGAGACACGGCCCAGACUCCUACGGGAGGCAGCAGUGGGGAAUAUUGCACAAUGGGCGCAAGCCUGAUGCAGCGACGCCGCGUGAGGGAUGACGGCCUUCGGGUUGUAAACCUCUUUCAGUAGGGAAGAAGCGAAAGUGACGGUACCUGCAGAAGAAGCACCGGCUAACUACGUGCCAGCAGCCGCGGUAAUACGUAGGGUGCGAGCGUUAUCCGGAAUUAUUGGGCGUAAAGAGCUCGUAGGCGGUUUGUCGCGUCUGUCGUGAAAGUCCGGGGCUUAACCCCGGAUCUGCGGUGGGUACGGGCAGACUAGAGUGCAGUAGGGGAGACUGGAAUUCCUGGUGUAGCGGUGGAAUGCGCAGAUAUCAGGAGGAACACCGAUGGCGAAGGCAGGUCUCUGGGCUGUAACUGACGCUGAGGAGCGAAAGCAUGGGGAGCGAACAGGAUUAGAUACCCUGGUAGUCCAUGCCGUAAACGUUGGGCACUAGGUGUGGGGACCAUUCCACGGUUUCCGCGCCGCAGCUAACGCAUUAAGUGCCCCGCCUGGGGAGUACGGCCGCAAGGCUAAAACUCAAAGGAAUUGACG